RNAcentral lists this unclassified non-coding RNA (267 nucleotides) under Hevea brasiliensis (rubber tree). Lineage: Eukaryota; Viridiplantae; Streptophyta; Magnoliopsida; Malpighiales; Euphorbiaceae. The record is from RNAcentral.
GGGAAAGAGUAUGCAAAAGCAGUUUGGAGAAGCAGGUCCAAACCAGUCUGCCAUGUCAUUUGAGCAGAAACUCCAAAACUGCUGGUCCAAGGAGCUAGACUGGCUUCUAAGCAUCUGAUGCUACUUAUCUCCAAAAUUGCUUAUCAUGCUUCAGAAGUUUUUCAUCAAACUUCUACUUAGGUUUUGAGAACAAAAAAUUGAUUGGAUAAAUAAAGCUUUACAAAGUGAUGUUUUCCUUCUGAAUUGCUUGAGGAAUUUUAGUUAGAG